Molecule: transfer RNA, 82 nt
Filed under: Bacillota bacterium
Lineage: Bacteria; Bacillati; Bacillota
Description: Firmicutes bacterium (gut metagenome) tRNA-Tyr
Rfam family: tRNA
About the family: Transfer RNA (tRNA) molecules are approximately 80 nucleotides in length. Their secondary structure includes four short double-helical elements and three loops (D, anti-codon, and T loops).
Source: RNAcentral
GGAUGGGUUCCCGAGUGGCCAAAGGGGUCGGACUGUAAAUCCGCUGCAUUUUGCUUCGAAGGUUCGAAUCCUUCCCCAUCCA